AGAUUGAACGCUGGCGGCAUGCCUAACACAUGCAAGUCGAACGGCAGCACGGCAGUAGCAAUACUGUGGGUGGCGAGUGGCGGACGGGUGAGGAAUGCGUCGGAAUCUGCCCAGUUGUGGGGGAUAACUAGCCGAAAGGUUAGCUAAUACCGCAUACGACCGAGAGGUGAAAGCGGGGACCUGCAAGGGCCUCGCGCGAUUGGAUGAGCCGACGCCGGAUUAGCUAGUUGGUAGGGUAAAGGCCUACCGAAGGCGACGAUCCGUAGCUGGUCUGGAGAGGAUGAUCAGCCACACUGGAACUGACGACGACGGUCCAAGACCUCCGAACGGGAGCAGCGAGGUGGGAAUAGUUGGAACAAGUGGG
This 364-nucleotide ribosomal RNA is filed under the name uncultured soil bacterium. RNAcentral's name for it is "bacterial SSU rRNA". It matches the Rfam family "Bacterial small subunit ribosomal RNA", at positions 26 to 378 of the family's 1533-position model. The record is from RNAcentral.